This 506-nucleotide ribosomal RNA is filed under the name uncultured bacterium. RNAcentral's name for it is "partial 16S ribosomal RNA". It matches the Rfam family "Bacterial small subunit ribosomal RNA", at positions 29 to 523 of the family's 1533-position model. The record is from RNAcentral.
AGUGAAUGCUGGCGGUAGGCCUAACACAUGCAAGUCGAACGGCAGCACGGGAGAGCUUGCUCUCUGGGUGGCGAGUGGCGGACGGGUGAGGAAUACAUCGGAAUCUACUCUGUCGUGGGGGAUAACGUAGGGAAACUUACGCUAAUACCGCAUACGACCUACGGGUGAAAGCAGGGGACCUUCGGGCCUUGCGCGAUUGAAUGAGCCGAUGUCGGAUUAGCUAGUUGGCGGGGUAAAGGCCCACCAAGGCGACGAUCCGUAGCUGGUCUGAGAGGAUGAUCAGCCACACUGGAACUGAGACACGGUCCAGACUCCUACGGGAGGCAGCAGUGGGGAAUAUUGGACAAUGGGCGCAAGCCUGAUCCAGCCAUACCGCGUGGGUGAAGAAGGCCUUCGGGUUGUAAAGCCCUUUUGUUGGGAAAGAAAUCCAGCUGGCUAAUACCCGGUUGGGAUGACGGUACCCAAAGAAUAAGGACCGGCUAACUACGUGCCAGCCGCCGCGGUAA